CCCAGCCAGCGGUGGAGGAGGGGGACGGUUACGCCCCCCCACACACACACAGAGUGACGGCAACUACACACCCACCCCCGCGCGAUCACUUUCGCCCAGGGACCCCCCAGCUCGGCUUCACUCGGGUUACCUUGACCCACUCCUACAAACGCAUGUCCUUCUUCCCUCCCCUCAAUUUUUUAAUUCUUUUUAACUACUAUAGGGGGGUUUCAGGGGACGUACAAAAUGAAGUGGGGUUCCAAAAAAAGGGGGUGAGGGGCAGGGAAUUGGAGCCCCCUGUGUUUUUGUAUACCCCUCUCUUCCUGCAAGGGGGAAAAGCCGCCCCCUUACACAAAAAAAUGAUACUCUUCUCUGCUGGGUAUUUAAAUGAGCCAUAACCAGUGGACUUUAGUUAAAAAGGAAAAAAAUGUUUGCAGACCCAUCCUGGGCUCGGUUGGUUUCAGAAGUAAGGCGCAAUCCUAAACACGCUUUACUCCCGUUCAGUUUAGAGAGGUUUGCAGCACGGUCCUGACCGUGCUUACUCAGAAGUAAAUCCUAUGGAAUUAAAUGGGAUUUUACUCCCUUGUCAGGAAGGGUUAAGCUUGCAGCUUUGCUUCCCAGUAAAGGGAGGGGCUUUUGUUCUGCAAGUCCCACUAUGGCUUUCAGUGGGACUUACUCCUAUCUAAGUUUGCAUAGGAUAGGUGCUUGGCAGGCAGAUCAUCUGCAUGUUUCUACAAGACUUGAAGUCUCAAAGUGAGGCUUCCUUGCCAAGUACAUGCACUCAGAAUUGCAGACAUAAUCCCACAGUACUGUACUUAUACCUGAAAAACUCAAGCACAUUCCCCAACAUGUUACUCACUUCACAGGGGAAGGUGGUAGGGACACAGUCUGCUGGCAUUUGUGCAUCUUGCAUGUGCAUUAUAAUCAAGAAAAUAUAUCCAACCUUUUACUUCUAGUUGUGGGAAUGGGCUGAAACUAACUAGAAUAAUUCUGCUGCAGGGUAUGUGUUGGAAACCAGAUUUUUAAAAGACAUCCCCCAAAGUCAAAAUGGGCAGAGUUUUACAGGUGACAGAGACAAGAACAUGAGAUUGUUCCUAGAGCAUGCACAAGUGUUGUCUCCCUCUCCUUGCUCUCCAAACUCGCAUAAAAAAUAAUUAUCUCUUCCCUUGCUUUGAUUUAUCUCUUCAGACUCUUAAAGGCUACUUGUGUGUUUGGUGCAAGCAACUGCCUCCUGUCACACCUGCAUUGAUUAUUGAGAGGCGCCCCAACUCUAAACCUCCAGCACCUAUGAUUUUAAUCGGAUUUCCUCAGCUUUCUUGCUUUCGUUACAGUGGUUAUGGGGAACCUGUGGCCCUCCAGAUGUUGCUAAACUACAACUCCCAUCAGCCUCUGCAUGCAUGGCCAGUGGAUACUCGCCUCUCGGUCUCUUGACAGCCAUGUGUAUUAGCCUUAUGGAGCUCGAAAUGGCGUACAUGGUUCUCCCAUCCUCAUUUAAUCCAUACAGCAACCUUGUGAAUAUUAAUUCAGUUUGGAGUCGCAGAUGAUUUUCCUGCUAAUGAAGAAACUCUGCAUGCGGUCAUCGGGAAAGGUGAAGCCGCCUUUGCUAGAAGGCCUCAGGCAGAAUACAGCGUGAUUAUUCAUGAAGACCUCUAUGCCUGCAAAUACCCUUCUUGCCUUCUCUCCAGCAGGUCUCUUUCACCCCAUCUCUUGCCAAUUGCAUUUUUGUUUUAACAUGAACAAAAAAUAAAU
Non-coding RNA from Zootoca vivipara (common lizard), 1728 nucleotides. NCBI's taxonomy places the organism in Eukaryota, Metazoa, Chordata, Lepidosauria, Squamata, Lacertidae. The record is from RefSeq and is a predicted model, not a curated record.